Molecule: ribosomal RNA, 1504 nt
Filed under: uncultured Bordetella sp.
Lineage: Bacteria; Pseudomonadati; Pseudomonadota; Betaproteobacteria; Burkholderiales; Alcaligenaceae
Description: partial 16S-23S ribosomal RNA intergenic spacer
Rfam family: Bacterial small subunit ribosomal RNA
Source: RNAcentral
GGUUCGAUUAUAGCUCAGAUUGAACGCUGUGGGAUGCUUUACACAUGCAAGUCAGACAGCGGCACGGACGUCGGUCUGGUGGCAGUGGCGAACGGGUGAGUAAUGUAUCGGAACGUGCCUAGUAGCAAGGGGAUAACUGCGCGGCGUAAGCGCAAACGCCGCAUACGCCCUUCGAAGGGAAAGCGGGGGGGACGGGCCUCGCACUAUUAGAAACGGCCGAUAUCGGAUUAGCUAGUUGGUGGGGUAACAGCUCACCAAGGCGACGAUCCGUAGCUGGUUUGAAAGGACGACCAGCCACACUGGGACUGGGGCACAGCCCAGACUCCUACAGGAGGCAGCAGUGGGGGAAUUUUGGACAAUGGGGGAAACCUGAUCCAGCCAUCCCGCGUGUGCGAUGAAGGCCUUCGGGUUGUAAAAGCACUUUUGGCAGGAAAAGAAACGGCACGGAUAUGCCGUUACAACUGAUGACCACCUGCAGAAUAAACACCACGGCCUAACUACGUACUGUAAUAUGAUGUCAAUACGUAAGUGCAAGCGUUAAUCGGAAUUACUGGGCGUAAAGCGUGCGCAGGCGGUUCGGAAAAGAAAGAUGCUGAAAUCCCAGAGGCUUAACUUUGGAACUGCAUUUUUAACUACCGAGCUGAAGUGUGUCAGGGAGAAUUGAAUUCCCGCGUGUAGCAGUGAUACGUAGAUAUGCGGAGGAACACCGAUGGCGAAGGCAACCUCCUGGGAUAACACUGACGCUCAUGCACGAAAGCGUGGGGGCAAACAGGAUUAGAUGCCUGGUAGUCACGCCCUAAACGAUGUCAACUAGCUGUUGGGGCCUUCGGGCCUUGGUAGCGCAGCUAACGCGUGAAGUUGACCGCCUGGGGAAGUACGGUCGCAAGAUUAAACUCAAGAAAAGGAAUUGACGGGAAGGGACCCGCACAAGCGGUGGAUGAUCAUGGAUUAAUUCGAUGCAACACCGAAAAACCUUAUACCUUGACAUGUCUGGAAUCCCGAAGAGAUUUGGGAGUGCUCAUAAAGAGAACCGGAACACGUUUUGCAUGGCUGUCGUCGAAGCUCCGUGUCGUAGAGAUGUUGGGUUAAGUCCCGCAGCAGGCGCAACCCUUGUCGUGGAUUGCUGCGAAGGGCCUCUAAUGAGACUGCCGGUGACAAACCGGAGGAAGGUGGGGAUAGCGUCAAGUCCUCAUGGCCCAUAUGGGUAGGGCUUCACACGUCGCCUGCAAUGGUCGGGACAGAGGGUCGCCAACCCGCGAGGAGCCAAUCCCAGAAACCCGAUCGUAGUCCGGAUCGCAGUCUGCAGCUCGACUGCGUGGGAGUCGGAAUCGCUGGUAAUCGCGGAUCCCAGCAUGUCGCGGUGAAUGCGUUCCCAGGGUCUUGUACACACCGCCCACGUCACACCAUGGAAUUAGGUUUUACCAGAAGUAGUUACAGCCUAACCGUAAGGAGGGCGAUUACUACGGUAGGAUUCAUGACUGGGGUGGAAGUCGUGACAAGGUAG